This 498-nucleotide ribosomal RNA is filed under the name uncultured bacterium. Its description in RNAcentral is "partial 16S ribosomal RNA". It matches the Rfam family "Bacterial small subunit ribosomal RNA", at positions 30 to 523 of the family's 1533-position model. The record is from RNAcentral.
AUUGAACGCUGGCGGCAUGCCUUACACAUGCAAGUCGAACGGUAACGGGCCUUCGGGUGCCGACGAGUGGCGAACGGGUGAGUAAUACAUCGGAACGUGCCCGAACGUGGGGGAUAACGAGGCGAAAGCUUUGCUAAUACCGCAUACGAGCUACGGAUGAAAGCAGGGGACCGCAAGGCCCUGCUCGGACGGAGCGGCCGAUGGCAGAUUAGGGAGUUGGUGGGAUAAAAGCUUACCAAGCCGACGAUCUGUAGCUGGUCUGAGAGGAUGAUCAGCCACACUGGGACUGAGACACGGCCCAGACUCCUACGGGAGGCAGCAGUGGGGAAUUUUGGACAAUGGGCGCAAGCCUGAUCCAGCUAUGCCGCGUGCAGGAUGAAGGCCUUCGGGCUGUAAACUGCUUUUGUACGGAACGAAAAGCCUUCUUCUAAUACAGGAGGGUCAUGACGGUACCGUAAGAAUAAGCACCGGCUAACUACGUGCCAGCCGCCGCCGUAA